CUACUCUUGCCUUCAUUUUCUUCACAUCUUUCUUAAGUAACCUCUUUGCACAAAUAUCUCUAUAAAAGUUUUAAAGAUGAAUAACAAUCAUUCUUAUAUUUUUUUUUGCAAUACUUGAUGAAUAGCUAUUGUGUUAACCCACUAAGUGAUUUUAAUGAUGAUCAAACAUUGGAGCACAGAAGUAUUAAUAUUUUCUUUUUAAGUGUUGUA
RNAcentral lists this long non-coding RNA (210 nucleotides) under Elaeis guineensis (African oil palm). Its description in RNAcentral is "long non-coding RNA (EGUI_LNC040254)". The record is from RNAcentral. Lineage: Eukaryota; Viridiplantae; Streptophyta; Magnoliopsida; Arecales; Arecaceae.